This is a long non-coding RNA of Chelonia mydas (Green sea turtle), 233 nucleotides long. RefSeq lists it as uncharacterized. The transcript is spliced from 3 exons. The record is from RefSeq and is a predicted model, not a curated record. Lineage: Eukaryota; Metazoa; Chordata; Testudines; Cheloniidae.
GCCAGAUGGGUGGGGUGGUGGACAGGCUCCCACUCCUGACCCCAACCUAUAUUUCUGUGUGGAGUCUCCUGAGGUCAGGCCCCUCGGACCCCCAGUGGGAGUGGAAGGUGAUGGUCAACGAGGAGACAUUCGUGGGGUGGUGAGACCUGGGACAGAGAGAACUGUUGUCAGGUCCCUGAUGGUGCAGCCUCAGAUUCUGAGGGGCUGCGUGACCUCUGAGAGGGUCCCAGGGA